GGGGGCAACCCUGGCGGCGAGCGGCGAACGGGUGAGUAACACAUCGGAACGUACCCAAUCGUGGGGGAUAACACAUCGAAAGAUGUGCUAAUACCGCAUAAGUCCUGAGGGAGAAAGCGGGGGAUCGCAAGACCUCGCGCGAAUGGAGCGGCCGAUGUUCGAUUAGCUAGUUGGUGGGGUAAAGGCCUACCAAGGCGACGAUCGAUAGCUGGUCUGAGAGGACGACCAGCCACACUGGAACUGAGACACGGUCCAGACUCCUACGGGAGGCAGCAGUGGGGAAUUUUGGACAAUGGGGGCAACCCUGAUCCAGCCAUUCCGCGUGAGUGAAGAAGGCCUUCGGGUUGUAAAGCUCUUUCGGCAGGAACGAAACGGUGAAGGCUAAUACCUUUUACUAAUGACGGUACCUGAAGAAGAAGCACCGGCUAACUACGUGCCAGCAGCCGCGGUAAUACGUAGGGUGCGAGCGUUAAUCGGAAUUACUGGGCGUAAAGCGUGCGCAGGCGGUUUUGUAAGACAGCUGUGAAAUCCCCGGGCUCAACCUGGGAACUGCGGUUGUGACUGCAAGACUGGAGUGUGGCAGAGGGGGGUGGAAUUCCACGUGUAGCAGUGAAAUGCGUAGAGAUGUGGAGGAACACCGAUGGCGAAGGCAGCCCCCUGGGUCAACACUGACGCUCAUGCACGAAAGCGUGGGGAGCAAACAGGAUUAGAUACCCUGGUAGUCCACGCCCUAAACGAUGCCAACUAGGUGUUGGGAAAGGAGACUUCCUUAGUGCCGUAGCUAACGCGUGAAGUUGGCCGCCUGGGGAGUACGGUCGCAAGAUUAAAACUC
This 832-nucleotide ribosomal RNA is filed under the name uncultured Rhodocyclaceae bacterium. Its description in RNAcentral is "bacterial SSU rRNA". It matches the Rfam family "Bacterial small subunit ribosomal RNA", at positions 75 to 902 of the family's 1533-position model. The record is from RNAcentral. Lineage: Bacteria; Pseudomonadati; Pseudomonadota; Betaproteobacteria; Rhodocyclales; Rhodocyclaceae.